UAUUGUGAUGCGUCUGGUCAGAAAGUUAACUUGGCAAAAUCAUCUAUUUUCUUUGGGAAAGGUUGUCUGGAGCACCAAAGAAAUAUCAUAAAAAACAUUCUUACAGUCUUCAAUGAAUCUUUGAAUGAACGGUAUCUCGGGCUACCAUCAGAUGUGGGGAAGUGCAAGAAGGGUUCAUUCAAAUAUAUUAAAGAUAGGUUAUGGUCAAAAGUUCAGGGCUAUAUUGAACAUUGUAUGGCAUCAUCAGGGAAGGAGAUAUUGAUCACAUCGAUCACGAAGGCGAUCCCAACUUUCUCCAUGCCAUGCUUUCUUCUCCCCCGAGAUCUGUGCAAGCAAGUGGAUACGAUGCUUCGGAAAAAAAAUUGGGGCCGCAGGAAGACCGUGUGA
This 387-nucleotide ribosomal RNA is filed under the name Triticum aestivum (bread wheat). Its description in RNAcentral is "partial small subunit ribosomal RNA". The record is from RNAcentral. Lineage: Eukaryota; Viridiplantae; Streptophyta; Magnoliopsida; Poales; Poaceae.